Rhea pennata is the source of this 232-nucleotide long non-coding RNA. RefSeq lists it as uncharacterized. The transcript is spliced from 3 exons. The record is from RefSeq and is a predicted model, not a curated record. Lineage: Eukaryota; Metazoa; Chordata; Aves; Rheiformes; Rheidae.
AGCAAACAUAAAGGGAAAUCAAGAUCCCCUGUUCGUGUCUCUUCACCAGACUAGAAGAACCUGUAGUUCUUAGAGCUGCAGGGAAUGAUGCAGUCUGUAGCAAAUGGCACCUUACUCCAGAAGAUAUGUCUUUCUUUUUAAAGCAUGUGCUUCCAUGCCGUCCAUGCACAAGAGUGGAAAGUGACCUGUUGUGUUUGUGGAAGCUCUGGAAUCCCGCAGGAGAAGGAUCACU